This 502-nucleotide ribosomal RNA is filed under the name uncultured bacterium. RNAcentral's name for it is "partial 16S ribosomal RNA". It matches the Rfam family "Bacterial small subunit ribosomal RNA", at positions 29 to 507 of the family's 1533-position model. The record is from RNAcentral.
AGCGAACGCUGGCGGCGUGCCUAACACAUGCAAGUCGAACGUGAAAGGGAGCAAUCCCCAGUAAAGUGGCGUACGGGUGAGUAACACGUAGGUAAUCUACCCCAGAAUCUGGAAUAACCGGCCGAAAGGCUGGCUAAUACUGGAUAGAGCGACGGAAUCCGUAAUUGGGUUUUUCGGGAAAGGGAGCCUGUAAAAAGGCCUUCGUUCUGGGAUGAGCCUGCGUCCCAUCAGCUAGUUGGUGAGGUAAAAGCUUACCAAGGCAAUGACGGGUAGCUGGUCUGAGAGGACGAUCAGCCACACUGGAACUGAAACACGGCCCAGACUCCUACGGGAGGCAGCAGUGGGGAAUCUUGCGCAAGGGACGAAAGUCUGACGCAGCAACGCCGCGUGAGUGAAGAAGGCCUUCGGGCUGUAAAGCUCUGUCGAGUGGGACGAAAAUGCUUGGAGUUCACAGCUCCAGGAACUGACGGUACCACUAAAGGAAGCACCGGCUAACUCCGUG